Molecule: ribosomal RNA, 253 nt
Filed under: uncultured bacterium
Lineage: Bacteria
Description: partial 16S ribosomal RNA
Rfam family: Bacterial small subunit ribosomal RNA
Source: RNAcentral
UACGUAGGGACCAAGCGUUGUUCGGAUUUACUGGGCGUAAAGGGCGCGUAGGCGGCUUGACAAGUCAGUUGUGAAAUCUCCGGGCUUAACUCGGAACGGCCAAGUGAAACUGUCAUGCUAGAGUGCAGAAGGGGCAAUCGGAAUUCUUGGUGUAGCGGUGAAAUGCGUAGAUAUCAAGAGGAACACCUGAGGUGAAGACGGGUUGCUGGGCUGACACUGGCGCUGAGGCGCGAAAGCCUGGGGAGCAAACGGG